RNAcentral lists this ribosomal RNA (466 nucleotides) under uncultured bacterium. RNAcentral's name for it is "partial 16S ribosomal RNA". It matches the Rfam family "Bacterial small subunit ribosomal RNA", at positions 28 to 507 of the family's 1533-position model. The record is from RNAcentral.
GAUGAACGCUGGCGGCGUGCUUAACACAUGCAAGUCGAACGAUGAAGCCCAGCUUGCUGGGUGGUUUAGUGGCGAACUGGUGAGUAACACGUGAGUAACCUGCCCUUUACUCUUGGAUAAGCCUGGGCAACUGGGUCUAAUACUUGAUAUCACUUCUCAUCUCAUGGUGGGGGGUGGAAAUCUUUAUUGGUCUUGGAUGGGCUCGCGGCCUAUCCGCUUGUUGGGGAGGUAAUGGCUCACCAAGGCGACGACGGGUAGCCGUCACUGGAGUGUGACCGGCCACAAUGGGACUGAGAGACGGACCAGACUCCUACGGGAGACAGCAGGGGGGAAUAUGGUACAAUGGGCGCAAGUCUGAUGCAGAGACGCCGGGGGAGGGAUGACGGCCUUUGGGGUGUAAACCGCAGUCAGUAGGGAAGAAGCGAGAGUGACGGUACCUGCAGAAGAAGCGCCGGCUAACUACGUG